UGUCGGGGCAGGAUACUGCUGUGAGAUGGGCUCAGUGAGGGGAAAGCCUUAGAGGGUCAAGGGUCAACCCAAGUGUGAUCUGGGGAGCCCAGACGGGGCCUGAAGCUAUUUCCACCUUCAGUUCCAGAGUCCUUGGUUUUGUGCAAGAGCAAAUGGCACAGCAUCCUCACCAGGACCAAGAACAAAAGGCAAGCAUGACAUCCGUGCAACAGAGAAGCACAUCAGAAGAAGAAGAAGAAGAAGAAGAAGAAGAAGAAGAAGAAGAAGAAGAAGAAGAAGAAGAAGAAGAA
This is a long non-coding RNA of Heterocephalus glaber (naked mole-rat), 290 nucleotides long. RefSeq lists it as uncharacterized. NCBI's taxonomy places the organism in Eukaryota, Metazoa, Chordata, Mammalia, Rodentia, Bathyergidae. The record is from RefSeq and is a predicted model, not a curated record.